Sparus aurata (gilthead seabream) is the source of this 2754-nucleotide long non-coding RNA. The record is from Ensembl. Lineage: Eukaryota; Metazoa; Chordata; Actinopteri; Spariformes; Sparidae.
AUAUGCCACCCAGUGAGCAGCACUUGAAGGCGUGGACGUCUUCUUCACGUCGCGCUACGUCAUUCCCCGGUCAUCCGACAGCAGACCUCUGGCUCCAUCUGGUGGCCGUGCACGGUACGCGCAUCUCAGACUGAAGAGCGCUUCCUCCUUUUCCGCCAGAUUUCUGGUUCUCCGCCAAGUUGAGUUACACGUCAGUGGAGAACCUGUACUGGUGAGUGGACGUGUACAGCGCGCGUCAGACGGUUCCCGGAUGCGCCGGACAGAAACAUGGAACGGGUGGUGGUGGAGGUGCCGAUCAACAACGGUUUUUCCCUCGCCGGCCCUUCCUCAACCCCACGUAAGCGCCAGGUGCGUUUUUCAGCACGGCAUGACAUCAUCCUUCUGCGGGAGGUCAUCGCCCAGAACCCCUUUGCCUCCAAAGAGCCAGGGCGAAUCUGGGCCCGUGUGGGAGAGAUUAUCACUGCAGCCCUCCAGGAUGAAAACUUUGAGGUGGAUGCCAGGAGGUGUAGAGAGAGGACCAUGCUGCUGCUCGACUACUAUAAGAAACAAGACUUUCCCAGUCUGCGCAGAUUUGGAACAGAGAGACUGUACGCCCAAAAGGAGGAUCUUCUCCAUGAGGUUCUGGAGCUGGAGGCUGAGAAGGGGCUCCUUGCCAGCGGGGAAAGCACUAAGUAUCAGGAGGAUGACCUGAGAAAGCGAGCCAUGGAAGAACUAAAUCUGCCAGAGCAGGACAAACCCAACAUCACAAUCACUCAAACAGCCACUGCAGGUGAUAACAGAUUCAAACACACCAGACAGGACCGGGCCGUGUCACCUGAUACCCACAGCACAAAGUUGAAAGAAAAUCAAAGUCAUUCAGAAUGCUAUGAAUUCAGGGUUGAUGGUGUAUCUGAAACAUUUUACGUAAUUCCCACCACAGCAGAACCAGAAGAAGAUCGUGAGGAAAUGGCAGAGCUUUCAGCUGCGCCCAUGGCCAAGCGGCCCUGCCAGUGCUGCUGCCAGACCUACUCUGAGAUUCUCAGCUUCCUGGAGAAACGCUCCGAGGCAGAGCAGCGGCUGCGUGAGGAGGAGCUCGCUCUGCGCAGGGAGGAGCUGGAGAUUCAAAGGAGUAAGAUUUGUGGAGAGAUUUAUAGUGUGAUUUCAACCUGAAAAGGGGUUGAAAAUAUUUGACCUUGCUACGUUGUAGGUGCCAUUUUUGGUUUACUUUUAUCUUGUAAAGUGAGCCUGAGAAUCAGUCUGAAUUUCCAUUUCAUUUAUAAAAUCUGAAAUUUGGACAAUAAUUCAUGGGUCUCUCUCCCUUUUUAUUUUGUACUCGCAGGUAAGAUCGCUCUGGAGAGGGAACGUUUGGGAGCUGAGAGAAAAGAGAGGGAACGCAGAUUUGAGCUGGAGAGCCAAGAGAGGCAGGUCAUCUUGGACCUGCUAAAAGAGAAGGUGCUGAAAGGCUGACAGAGUAGAAAUGUAUCACCUGCAUUUUAACGAAAUCUUGAAAAAUAAAAAAAAUAAAACAAAGCAUGAAAUACAGGGGGAAAAUGUGGUUGACUCCUUUAAAAAGAGGAUGGAAACCGGGAAACGAGAAGUAGAAUUAUCAGUGGUUGUUGGUUGUAUAUGUGAGGGUCACUGAUCUGGUAAAAUAACAAAGUCGGAUCAAAGAUGGUUUGAAAUGCAAGGCAGUAAUGCAGAAUUUGCAUGUGUCAAACUGCGGACGCUGCUGACAGCGUUUAAAAGCCGCAAAAACCAGCUUAUCAUUAGGUAGAUGCCAACAAGCUCACAGUCUUCAUUACUCACCCGAGCUUCACCUGAGAAAUGGAAUGCCAGCACGGAUGUGGUGUGGCGUGUUAGAUGUGAAAAAGGAACAGGUACACAGGUAAACAGGUACUGAACUAAAUCAGAUGAUUGCACUUCCUCGUGUGACACCAGCAGCAGUCUGAUUAUAUGAGCCCUGUUCACAUGUAGUAGACAGCAUUCGUUGUGCUUCUAGGAUAGAAUAAAUGGAGCAACAACUGAGAAAAGUUGUAUAAUUAGACAACUGACAUUUAGUGCAGUUCAAGCAUUUUGAAAAUCCCUGUAGUAACAUGUUAAUGUUUCUACACGCUUUUUCAGCUACUUCUUUUUUGACAUUUUGAUUGAAAAUUAACUAAAGCUAUAUUUACUGACUGUGAAUCCACUGUACAUUGCUAGUAAGCACUUUUCUACUGCAGACAAAAAAGCCAUUAAGUGUGUGCCUGUAUUCUUUAGAUGAUACAGAAACCAUUGACAUGAAGUUAUAAUGUCAAAUGUGCUACAUUCCUUUUGCUUUUAGAAAGCUAUUGGUCACAUUUGUGUUGACCUCCUCAGUUUAUAGUUUCAUUAAUUUGGUGUUAUAAUUAAAUAUAUAAACAUGACAGAAGCCGUUUUUAUGAAAUGUUCCAAUGAUUUACAGACAUCUUUACUGCUCAUGAUUUAUUAUCUGACUUUUAUUACAUUACUAUUGCUACUGUGAUACUGAUACUGUGAUUUAUACUGUUCAUUCAAAAUACUUUGCAUUAAAAUGCUAGUUCUCUCAGCACAGGCAUAGCCUUCAUUGUAUACUAUGAAAGCAUGUAAAUAAAAUUGUAGGCAAUUGGACUUGUUUCAGUAGCCUACAAUAUAGCACCUGGAUGAGACCUUCAUCAACAUGUAAAGAACAUUUGCUCACCUAAAAAGUUUAUCAUUUUUAUUCUGAAAAUAAAAAUCAUUGUAAAUUGAGUCUGUGUAGAUUUAUCGGGAUCAUGGCCA